Long non-coding RNA from Pteropus alecto (black flying fox), 1903 nucleotides. RefSeq lists it as uncharacterized. The record is from RefSeq and is a predicted model, not a curated record. The transcript has 2 exons. NCBI's taxonomy places the organism in Eukaryota, Metazoa, Chordata, Mammalia, Chiroptera, Pteropodidae.
CAGAGGUCUGGCUUACUCCCAAAGCAGAAAUCAUGACUCAUCAAGGCUUUCAGAAGGGCCAGAAAGAAGCUGCAUUUGCCUUGAGUUCACCUUCAGGCCAAUACAUGCUCUCUGAACUGAGACUAGGAAACUUGAAUGUUUGUCCUGUGUCUGUGACAACCGGCUGUGAGGCCUUGAACAAAACGCCUGAAAGUCUCUGGAUCUCGGUUUCCUCAUCUGUAGGUGAUCGCCAAGGAAGAUCUCAUCUAGAUUUGUCUAUAUUUGAGAUUUCCAGUCCCCAUUACCUAAAGACAAUUGGCCCACUGCGGGGAACUACAGAACAUCCCUCUCCUCACAAAAGCCAGGGCCCAGGGUCCAAACUCUGGGAGAUGCUUAAGUCCUGGAAGUAGGUGGGGAGAGGGUGUAAAAUCCUCCUCUCUAUGAAAGGGGGCACGCAACUGCAGAGACCAGUCCCUAUCAACGCUAAACCAGGCGAUUCCGGAAGCACCCUCCACCCUCUACCCCUGCUUCAGGUUCAGAUGCUCCAGGGAUGAGGACCGAGCUGAUUCCCGGCAAGGCUAUCAAGAGGGUGAAGAAUACAGAACAGAGGGGUCCUCUCUAUCAGGGGGAGGGAUGCAGAUAUCUGGAAAGGUGUUGGGGACCCGCCAAACGAGGGAGAGGAGCAUGGGGCAGGGUUGGAAGAGAACAGCCCUCAUCUGUUCCUGAUCCCCCUACAUGGACCGCAGGGGUCGGAGGCCCGCACCCCUAGGCUCUCUGGCGCGGAGCGAGGGGCGUGUCCGGAAGCCGAAGCGACAGGGCCCGAUUGAGGUCGCGCUGCUGCGACCCUGUCACUCUCUGGCCGACCCGGCCCCUAACCCUCAGCCCUGCGCGCGAGCAAGCUCAGCAAGACAAAACAAACUCGUGCCGGCUUCCUGUUGUGCAACCCAGUCCUGAGUAAUGCGAGGCCCUAAGGGCGCCGCCGCGGGCCCACCGCUGGGAAGCCCAGGCGGCGGGGACGAGCGGGCUCCCCGGCCCGGCCAGAGCCGGAUUCCAGAGGGAACCGCGGCCCCGCUCGCAGGAGCGCACGGACCCCACGCCGCGGACCCCGCGCCACACCAGCCGCGCGGACCCGGAGCCUCCACCGAACUAGUGUGCUAACCCUCAGGUACCUAACUGAAUCAUCCAUAGGAUGACAAAUCCGUCAGAGCCAAGUUUUCCAGACACUUGGGUGACUUCUUCAUCCCUGAAGUGACUGUCAUCUCCAGUGAGUAACUUGGAAGUGUCGCUCCGGGCAAGGUGUGUGUCUAGGACGGAGCCGGCUGCUCACUCACGCUUUCCAGAGAGCAGCCCGGCGGACUUCAAAUUACACACGGGGUCAUUUAUAGGGACUGAAGCCGUACGCAGGACAAAGUUCCUGAGACUGAGACAUUUUCCAAACAGUGCUGACAUUUUGUAGGGCCGCAAAAAAAAAUGUAAACGCGAGGUGACGAACCCAGCGGGGAGUGUGCGCGUCUGAAUGUGUCUGCGCAUUUUGCGGCGUGGGAGGUUAUAGCUAUAGACCUGGAGGAUGCGGGUCAGCGGACCCACACCAGCGACGAGUUAACGUACCGCUGACCCGAGGACCUCCUGGAGCAAUGGGGAUAUCGGCUUGAGCGAGACACAAGCGUGAAAAACAGACUUCGUGGAGCUCCACAAACACGUGGAACUGGAAAAGACAACUAUAGCCCGUGUGCGCGAGAGACCUCAUGUCACCCCAUCAAUUCUCACUUCUCCAGUUUCCCUUCAGUGUGGACUCAUGGGUGCCUUGCAAGACCAUGCCCGUGCGUCCUGUAACUUGCCCUGAUUUUGUAGCCCUCUGGCUCAUGUAGUUUAAAAGAAAACCAAAAACAAAAAGUCUUCCUAAUUAGAGAAACUUUAAAAUCUC